GACGAACGCUGGCGGCGUGCCUAAUACAUGCAAGUCGAACGCAGUGGGGACGGGUGAGUAACACGUGGGUAACCUCCCAUCAGAGGGGAUAACACUUGGAAACAGGUGCUAAACCGAUACUGAUGGAUGGACCCGCGGUGCAUUAGCUAGUUGGUGGGGUAACGGCUCACCAAGGCCACGAUGCAUAGCCGGCCUGGAAGGUUGAUCGGCCACACUGGGACUGAGACACGGCCCAGACUCCGACGGGAGGCAGCAGUGGGGAAUAUUCGACAAUGGACGAAAGUCUGACGGAGCAAGGCCGCGUGAGUGAAGAAGGUUUUCGGAUCGUAAAACUCUGUUGUUAGAGAAGCGGUAUCUAAACAGAAAGCCACGGCUAACUACGUGCCAGCAGCCGCGGUAAUAC
This 403-nucleotide ribosomal RNA is filed under the name uncultured bacterium. RNAcentral's name for it is "partial 16S ribosomal RNA". It matches the Rfam family "Bacterial small subunit ribosomal RNA", at positions 28 to 526 of the family's 1533-position model. The record is from RNAcentral.